GGUUAAAAAGCUCGUAGUUGGAUUUCUGUCGAGGGCGGCCGGUCCGCACUAUGUGCGUGUAUCUGGUUCGGUCUUGGCAUCCUCUUGGGGAUCGUUCGUGUGCUUGAUUGCAUGCGACGGAAUUCAAGUCUUUUACUUUGAGGAAAUUAGAGUGUUCACGGCAAGCUAUCGCUUUGAAUACAUUAGCAUGGAAUAAUAAUAUAGGGCGUAAGUUCUAUCUUGUUGGUUCAUAGAAAAUACGCAAUGAUUAAUAGGGAUAAUUGGGGGCACUCGUAUUAACGCGUCAGAGGUGGAAUUCUUAGAUUGCGUUACGACGAACUACUGCGAAAGCAUUUGCCAAGGAUGUUUUCGUUGAUCAAGAACGAAAGUAUGGGGAUCGAAGACGAUUAGAUACCGUCGUAGUCUAUACCAUAAACUAUGCCAACUAGAGAUUGGAGGUCGUUUUAUUUAUGACUCCUUCAGCACCUUAUGAGAAAUCAAAGUUUUUGGGUUCCGGGGGGAGUAUGGUCGCAAGGCUGAAACUUAAAGGAGUUGACGGAAAGGCACCACCAGGAGUGGAGCCUGC
RNAcentral lists this ribosomal RNA (565 nucleotides) under uncultured marine eukaryote. RNAcentral describes it as "SSU rRNA". It matches the Rfam family "Eukaryotic small subunit ribosomal RNA", at positions 617 to 1186 of the family's 1831-position model. The record is from RNAcentral.